AGCCCCGGUGGCCGAAUGGGUAAUGCGGCCACCAGGUAGCGCCUUGGCGUGGGGACCCAGGGUGUGUGGGUUCGAAACCCACAGGGGACAACAUUACAUCCAGAGCCAACUUCUCAGCUUCUAAAAUAAUGGGAUGUGAACUUGCCAAGUAGGUACCUUUGAGUGGAUCUACUACCUGAUUUAGCUUAUUGUUUCUGGGCUGGAAACCUGUAUUGCAUGUACCAAUCCUGUCUUUCAUUAAUUUUCCUAUGUUCUUGUUAUUCUUGGCGCUGUUCAACACUAAGCAUUCCUCCGGUAUAACCAACUCUUGCCUGUAUUUAACAUCACACAAGGACUCGUUAUAAGCGCUGCUUGCAUACGAGUAUAACGGAAGAAUAAUAAUAAUAAUAAUAAUAAGGUUUCAAAUUCUGUGAGCUAUGAUAGGCCA
RNAcentral lists this small RNA (427 nucleotides) under Histoplasma ohiense. Its description in RNAcentral is "hypothetical lncRNA". Lineage: Eukaryota; Fungi; Ascomycota; Eurotiomycetes; Onygenales; Ajellomycetaceae. The record is from RNAcentral.